GACGAACCGUGCGAACGUUGUUCGGAAUCACUGGGCUUAAAGGGUGCGUAGGCGGGCUGCCAAGUUUGGGGUGAAAUCCUCCGGCUCAACCGGGGAAGUGCCUCGAAUACUGGCGGUCUGGAGGGAGGUAGGGGCGUGCGGAACUAACGGUGGAGCGGUGAAAUGCGUUGAUAUCGUUAGGAACUCCGGUGGCGAAGGCGGCACGCUAGACCUCUUCUGACGCUGAGGCACGAAAGCCAGGGGAGCGAACGGG
This 253-nucleotide ribosomal RNA is filed under the name uncultured bacterium. Its description in RNAcentral is "partial 16S ribosomal RNA". It matches the Rfam family "Bacterial small subunit ribosomal RNA", at positions 524 to 776 of the family's 1533-position model. The record is from RNAcentral.